UUUUGGCAAAAAAUAAUAAAAUUUGUGGGUUUGUUAUUUUCCCAGAAUUUUUUUGUUGAAAAUUUGAGUACCUGAGAUAGCAUAUCACUAUAUUUAUACCUUGAAUUUUUUUCAUUUUGCGAGGCAUUAUUUUUUGUACUGUCAUUUCCUUCUUUCUUUCUUCUUGAUAAUUUUGUGAAUCAUGACACGUAGAUUAAACUGCUCGUAUGUAGUAACAUAAAUCACGUUGAAUUAUUUUGAGCUAUUUCUCUUGCUUUGCUUUAGACAUGAACCUCAAAUUUAGGAAUAUAAUCGUCCAGCUAUGCUGAAGCUCAUACUUAUACUGUGUGAAUUAAUAUUAGGCCCUACCAAUGUUUUGAAAUUUCAAAAAUGAAAAACAAAAUGAAAGUAACCGUCAUCGUAGUCCUGGUGGCGUUAACGGUCUACGUUUCCACGAUAUCCGCGCAAGAAGGAAAUGCUGCGCAAAAACAUUCUGGAAUAUCGAAUGCUGAAAAAUCAGAAUCAGAUUCAACAAAAUCCGAUCCCCAAGAAUCAUCAGAUGCCCAGCCAUCGAAUCCGCCAAAUCAGCCAGGCUCAGGCUCUGAAAGGAAAAAUAUUCGCUCGUUUCACAGGAUUGGUAGACUGAUUCAUCCUAUGCAAGAGGAGAGGAGAGAGAGGAUAGAGAGGAUAGAAGAUUAAUAGUAUGUCACUGACUCAAAAAACCUCCAUUUAAAGCAUUUUUGAUGCAAGAACCAUCUGUGCCAAAAGUGCCACCAAUCAGAUAAAUUUUCAGCAAUUACAUUGUGUGUGGUUUUUAGCACAGGUGGUCUACAGUGGGUUAAAAUUGACGAAGCCCCCGAAAGUUCAACAGGAAAGUGCUUACAAAUGAGUUGGUAAAACUUUAUGUUUAUAAAUUGGCUCUCUCCGGUGUUCAUACAGGAAAUUUAAGUACAUACCUAAUACCUAUCUAGAACAUACCCACCUAUACAGAUCUUUGAAAAAUAUGUACACUUUCACUAUUAAUAAUACCAUAUUACGUUCAUG
Planococcus citri (citrus mealybug) is the source of this 1023-nucleotide long non-coding RNA. RefSeq lists it as uncharacterized. The transcript has 2 exons. Lineage: Eukaryota; Metazoa; Arthropoda; Insecta; Hemiptera; Pseudococcidae. The record is from RefSeq and is a predicted model, not a curated record.